Molecule: Y RNA, 95 nt
Filed under: Saimiri boliviensis boliviensis (Bolivian squirrel monkey)
Lineage: Eukaryota; Metazoa; Chordata; Mammalia; Primates; Cebidae
Description: Y RNA (ENSSBOG00000001763.1)
Rfam family: Y RNA
About the family: Y RNAs are components of the Ro ribonucleoprotein particle (Ro RNP), in association with Ro60 and La proteins.
Source: Rfam by way of RNAcentral
GGCUGGUCUGAGUGCUUUACAACUAAUUGAUCACAACCAGUUACAGAUUUCUUUGUUCCUUCUCCACUCCCACUGCUUCACUUGAUUAGCCUUUA